GCUGGUUUAGCAUAAUUUUAAUGCGGAAGACUGUAAAUCUUUUUAUAAUGCUUUCCAUUAACCAGAA
RNAcentral lists this transfer RNA (67 nucleotides) under Capsaloides cristatus. RNAcentral's name for it is "tRNA-Tyr". It matches the Rfam family "tRNA". Rfam says of the family: Transfer RNA (tRNA) molecules are approximately 80 nucleotides in length. Their secondary structure includes four short double-helical elements and three loops (D, anti-codon, and T loops). Further hydrogen bonds mediate the characteristic L-shaped molecular structure. tRNAs have two regions of fundamental functional importance: the anti-codon, which is responsible for specific mRNA codon recognition, and the 3' end, to which the tRNAs corresponding amino acid is attached (by aminoacyl-tRNA synthetases). tRNAs cope with the degeneracy of the genetic code in two manners: having more than one tRNA (with a specific anti-codon) for a particular amino acid; and 'wobble' base-pairing, i.e. permitting non-standard base-pairing at the 3rd anti-codon position. Lineage: Eukaryota; Metazoa; Platyhelminthes; Monogenea; Capsalidea; Capsalidae. The record is from RNAcentral.